AAACUCAAAGGAAUUGACGGGGGCCCGCACAAGCGGUGGAGCAUGUGGUUUAAUUCGAAGCAACGCGAAGAACCUUACCAGGUCUUGACAUCCCGGUGCCCGUCCUAGAGAUAGGAUUUUGCUUCGGCACACCGGUGACAGGUGGUGCAUGGUUGUCGUCAGCUCGUGUCGUGAGAUGUUGGGUUAAGUCCCGCAACGAGCGCAACCCUUAUUGUUAGUUGCCAUCAUUCAGUUGGGCACUCUAGCGAGACUGCCGGUAAUAAACCGGAGGAAGGUGGGGAUGACGUCAAAUCAUCAUGCCCCUUAUGACCUGGGCUACACACGUGCUACAAUGGCUGGUACAACGAGUCGCAAGUCGGUGACGGCAAGCUAAUCUCUUAAAGCCAGUCUCAGUUCGGAUUGUAGGCUGCAACUCGCCUACAUGAAGUCGGAAUCGCUAGUAAUCGCGGAUCAGCACGCCGCGGUGAAUACGUUCCCGGGCCUUGUACACACCGCCCGUC
RNAcentral lists this ribosomal RNA (500 nucleotides) under uncultured bacterium. RNAcentral's name for it is "bacterial SSU rRNA". It matches the Rfam family "Bacterial small subunit ribosomal RNA", at positions 897 to 1398 of the family's 1533-position model. The record is from RNAcentral.